GCCAGUGUGGCAUAGUGGUUUGAGUGUUGGACUGCAACUCCAGAGACCAGGUUUUGAUUCCCAGCUCAGCCA
Molecule: transfer RNA, 72 nt
Filed under: Phrynosoma platyrhinos (Desert horned lizard)
Lineage: Eukaryota; Metazoa; Chordata; Lepidosauria; Squamata; Phrynosomatidae
Description: tRNA-OTHER
Rfam family: tRNA
About the family: Transfer RNA (tRNA) molecules are approximately 80 nucleotides in length. Their secondary structure includes four short double-helical elements and three loops (D, anti-codon, and T loops). Further hydrogen bonds mediate the characteristic L-shaped molecular structure. tRNAs have two regions of fundamental functional importance: the anti-codon, which is responsible for specific mRNA codon recognition, and the 3' end, to which the tRNAs corresponding amino acid is attached (by aminoacyl-tRNA synthetases). tRNAs cope with the degeneracy of the genetic code in two manners: having more than one tRNA (with a specific anti-codon) for a particular amino acid; and 'wobble' base-pairing, i.e. permitting non-standard base-pairing at the 3rd anti-codon position.
Source: RNAcentral